AUGGAUCCAAUAGUCAACCAGGGGUGGACCUCAUCCGAGGUAGAGGAGGCAUGCUCACUCAUUGCUAGGCUCAACACCAACAAAAUCAUGUAUGACGAUAACGAUGACAAGAACAAGAAGCACAACUACAUCGUGAAUUCUCUCCAUGCAUUGUUCCCUUCAAAGACCAUGAAACAGGUAACAAAUCUUUAUAUUGAUAUCGCCGUGGAAAUGCAUAUGAGCCAACGGAGGGAGGGGACCCAUGUUACUAGUGGUAGCCCGCAAAACAUUUUCACCUUUUGUGACCCUGUCAACGGUAACUAUGAGCUACCGAUGGAGGAGAAUGGUGCUAGCAGCACACACGGUAUCUACACCAUGGGUGACCAUGCGAAUGAAAACUUCGGUAAUACGGGGAUAACGGUGACGGGUGAGGCACCGCUGAUGGCAGACAAUAACAAGAUGAAGAUGUUGGAGAACAAUAUUUCCAUAGACCAACCAGUUGUUGCCCCACAUCAAUGGGGUUUUUGGACCGACGAGGAACACAGUGGAUUUUCAUUUCGUUGCGCACUGGAGGAUACUAGAAUCAGGAAGACGGAGGAGGCUCCGAUGAUGGUAGACAAGAACAAGAUGGGGGUCUUGGAGAACAAUACUUCCUUUGAUCGACCAGCUGUUGCCGCACAUCAACGAAAGUUUUGGACCAAAGAGGAACACAAGUCAUUUCUUUAUGGGCUGGAAGUCUAUGGCCGUGGCGACUGGAAAAACAUAUCCAAGCACUUCGUCACCACUAAGACCCUGUCCAAGUUUCAAGCCAUGCACAAAACAAAUAAUAGUUCUGCCCCUGGGCAAACCCUUUCUUUCACCAGCCUCAACAAUGACCCAAGCUUUAGGUUGCAGGCUCCGACGAGCUCGUUCACAGUCAUGAACAACCUAGCUCAGUGCUCCCCUUCCAUAUAUAAUCAACAAGUGGGCCAGCAGCCAAUGUGGCGUGAGCAGCAGAUGAUGGGUUCUACUGCACCUGUAAUGGGCGGGGUAGGAAACUAUGUGCCUGAUGGCCAACAAGGGUCAGCUUAUUUUUAUCUUGGCAAUGUAUGA
RNAcentral lists this ribosomal RNA (1071 nucleotides) under Triticum aestivum (bread wheat). RNAcentral's name for it is "partial small subunit ribosomal RNA". Lineage: Eukaryota; Viridiplantae; Streptophyta; Magnoliopsida; Poales; Poaceae. The record is from RNAcentral.